GUUUUUGUGGUGUAUUUUGCACAAAAAAUUUUCAAUUUUUAGGAAUAAAUUUUUAUCAAAAAUU
RNAcentral lists this transfer RNA (64 nucleotides) under Octopus salutii. RNAcentral describes it as "tRNA-Glu". The record is from RNAcentral. Lineage: Eukaryota; Metazoa; Mollusca; Cephalopoda; Octopoda; Octopodidae.